RNAcentral lists this long non-coding RNA (370 nucleotides) under Elaeis guineensis (African oil palm). RNAcentral describes it as "long non-coding RNA (EGUI_LNC063041)". The record is from RNAcentral. Lineage: Eukaryota; Viridiplantae; Streptophyta; Magnoliopsida; Arecales; Arecaceae.
CCGAAACCAAUUCAGGCUAUUUCUCCUAAAAUUAGAGAAUGUGCAAAUUCGCUAUAGCUCCACUUUGGGCCAACCAUAUGCUUGAUUUGGGCUAUCUCUGGACAACUGAACUUGAAUGCAUGUUAUAGAGAACCAAGUAGAUCUUCAACCUUUGCUGCACUGCCAUGGCCAUCAACAAUAGCCUUCGUUCUCUCCUCCUCCUUCACCUCUACUACAAGGCAUACUCAUUUGCCAUUGUUGCCCUUGCCCCACUACACAUCAGCCCACCACCCCCACGACCAGAUUUAUGUCCAUCUGUGUUUGCUUCUGCCACCUGUUGCUACGUUUUCCACCAAACGUUGGCGUUAGCUAGACUUGCAAUCAGAUCAAG